GGCGAUUCUUCCACGGCGCUCGAAGCGCGUCGUGGUAUUUCGCGUAUUGUAAUUUCAACACGAGCGGGGUCAAAUCCUUUGCAGACGACUUAGCUGUGCGAAACGGUCCUGUAAGCAGUAGAGUAGCCUUGUUGUUACGAUCUGCUGAGGGUAAGCCGUCCUUCGCCUCGAUUUCCCCAAUGGGUUCUCCGGAUUUCUGGAGACUUGUAGGGGUUGUGGGUUUUUUUCGAUGUGUCGUCUCCGGACGGGCGGUGCAGGGUAGUCGAGUUAGACUUGGUGGAAUUCGAUUCCGUCGAGUCUGGCUGGCACGAUCGUGUGCGGUUGUGUGUUGGACGGUGCAGGGUAGGCUGCUUGGACAUGGUCGGUUCGAGGAUCGAUUCGAGGGCCGGCCUGUCGAUGAUGUGUGAUGUGUGCCGUGUAGGGUAGGCUGCUUUGUCUUGGUCCAAUUU
This 449-nucleotide unclassified non-coding RNA is filed under the name Fusarium oxysporum f. sp. vasinfectum. Its description in RNAcentral is "partial contains large subunit ribosomal RNA and large subunit ribosomal RNA-small subunit ribosomal RNA intergenic spacer". The stretch from base 1 to 176 matches the Rfam family "Eukaryotic large subunit ribosomal RNA", at positions 3226 to 3401 of the family's 3401-position model. The record is from RNAcentral. Lineage: Eukaryota; Fungi; Ascomycota; Sordariomycetes; Hypocreales; Nectriaceae.